Molecule: long non-coding RNA, 3467 nt
Filed under: Panax ginseng (ginseng)
Lineage: Eukaryota; Viridiplantae; Streptophyta; Magnoliopsida; Apiales; Araliaceae
Description: long non-coding RNA (PGIN_LNC004294)
Source: RNAcentral
UUAUGAGCUGAUCCAUCAGAUAUAAGCAGGAGCUCUGACCUUAAUAUUGCAAGAUGGUUAAGUAAUCAUAAUAAGCAGGUGGUGGCUAACUAAUAGAGAAAUAGACUUGAUAAUUCAUUAUCUAUGUAUGGAGCAGGCGAUAGGGUGUUUAUAAAAUUCAAAGCUUAAGCACUCAGUUAUGCUUUUGAUUAAAAAGAAAACCCCAGCUCUUGGGCUAAAUCCAUUUUAUCACAAAUUUUCCUACACUAUAAUUUAGCAACUCUGAAGAUUUAAGGAGUUGGGUUUACACUCGGUUAAGAGCUGGAUUGUGACUGAUUAGAGAUGGAAGAGUAGCUGUGAAGAGCUGAAAAGAAGAAGAAGAAGAAAACUUAGCAGAUUGAACUAAGCAAUAGAAAGGUAAUGCAUCUUUGCUUAGUAUUUACUUUAAAAUGUUAAAUAUGAACUAAAUAGUGGUUAUGGGAUUUGCUAUGGGUUUGAUUAAGAAUAUGUGCUACCGAUGAUGUGUAAAUACUUGAGGAUAGUAUGCUUAGCAGUGGGGUUUUUCUAUUUGGUAUAGUUAUGUGUUUAUCAAUGGAAUUGAAUUAAAAAGGAAGUAAACUAGUUAGUUUACUAAUUACUUUAUUUUGUUUAAAUUUGAUUAUGUGUUUGACUGUUAUGCGGCUGGAAUUUUGAAUAGAGGAGAUAGGUUGACUGUGAGGAGCAAUAAGGUGUGAAAUAUGAGGCUAGAAUGCAAAUCAAUGGCCAUGAAAAGAGAAUUUUAAAACUAUGCACUCUAAGUGCUUGAUAAAAGUCCUUAAUGGACUGUUUUUGUCUAAAACCAAAAAUUUGUUAGAAGUAAAGCUUGGGCUUGAAUUAUACAACAUAUAUGAUGUUAAUUAGGGAAUUUGAAGGUACUAAAUUAGAGCGAAAAGCAGUUUAAGCCAAAACGAAAGUAAGAAAAACUUAGUGCGAUAAGCCAUGUAUGAACACUGUUUUGAGCUGCGUAUCAAAUCUGAAAUGGAAAGGUUAUGACCUCUAAAAUGCAUUCUCAUACGGUAUGUAUAACAUACUUAAGGUUUGUUUUAAUUUGGUAGAUGAGUUAAAAGUUCUAAGGCCACAAAUAAGGCAUGUUGGAGCAGGGCUGCUGCCUAUGGCAGCAGCAGUGGUGAUGCUUGGCAAGGGUUGGGACCUCCCUUGGUUGCUUAAUCAAAACACUUGAAAUAUUAAGGGUGGAUAUAUCACCUAUUUAGUAGCUAAAAUUCAACAUGAAUAAAUCAAAGCCACGAGAAAUGAAAAGCUAACAUAUUAAAAAAAAUUGAACUGGUGCCCAUUAACAGCAGCAGUCAGCCACAAGGAGCAUCAUUUUCAAGCAAGGUGAGGGUGCAGCUGCUGCCUAAUGGCAGCAGCAGUUAGCAAGAAGUGGGAGCUGCUGUGUGCAACAGAUGCUAGCCAUGUCUGUUUAUUGGCAUAGUUUAAAAGCUUACCCUUAAGCCCAAUCUUUGACUUCUAAGUGACCAAGUGCAUAAUUUAUAUAACAAAUCAUUGGUUGAGCUAGAUGAUUAAAAUAAAAAGUGGAAUUGACAAGGGGCUGCUGCCUUUGGGCAGCAGCAAUUGGCAAGAAAAUGACUGCUAAAGCAGUUUUGGGAAGCUAUUAUGGUUAGACAAUAAUAAAACUAAUCAUCAAGAAUGAUUAUAAUUCAUUUUGUAAUAAAGUAAUUAGAAUCCAUAACAAAUCUACUAUCUAACAUGUUUGGAAUAAUCAAUUGGAAGUUAUAAAAACUAAACAAAGCUAUAAUAGAGUGUUGUUUUGAAUAAAUCAAAUCAAUAGCGUAAAUUGCAACUCAAGGUAAGCGAACUAGUAAUUUGUAUGCUGAAGUUAAUGAAAUGAUGGUCUAGAGCCAAGGGGGGCUGUUAGGCUAUAUAUGGGGCCGCGGGGCUAUGUAUGGCCAUUCCAAGCUUGGCUAAGCCCCACAUGGCUAAACAAAACUUGAUUGUCUCACAAUGGGUUAAUUUGAGACUGUUUUGUUAUAAAGGAUAAAACAAGAGUAUUUAACACUUUUGUAUACCAGAACAAAGUUACAAAGCGUUAUGAGAGCUACAAAUUUCUCAACCAAGUUGUGAAUACACCCAAAACAUGUAAUUCACUAAAAAAUGAAUUGUAAUCUAUGAGAUAGCGGUUUACAUAAUUAAACCUUUAAUUUGGAAUUACUAAACCAAGUUUAAGCUGUUAGUAUCACAAAGAGUUACUAAUACUACGAAAGAGCUAGGCAUAACUUAGAAAAGAAAUAUGAACUAAAAUCAUAUAAGGGUCAUGAACUGGAAUUAUGUGUCAAACCCUACAAAAGAAAGAUAUAGCUAUUGUAAGAACAUGGAUGAGGUAUUUGAAAAAUGUAUAGAAAUAUUUCAAAUAUAGAAACAUAAAACUAAAAACAUGAUCAAUGUGAUUAUGUGAUAUGUGAACAUACAAGGUAUAUGACUUGGCUAUUUGGCUAAUAUGCUUGUACAUACAAAUAAUUGUGUAUGAUCUAUGAGAAUACACGAGUUAAGAUGAAAUUGUACCAAUAGUCUAUUAACAAGGCAAGUAUCUAAAUCUUAUUCUUUAUUGAGUAAGUAUUCUGAAAUUGUUCAUAUAUGGACAAGUUCUCUAAAUUCUGAACUGUCUUUCAAUAUUUAUGAAUAGUACAAGGUUAAAUAACCUUUUUAUUCCAAUCAGCUUCAAAAGAUUGGGUGAUGUAUUUUUAUGUAGAUCAAAUGAAAUUCAAUAUACAUGAGCAGAUCGCAAAGAAGUCUGAGCCAUUCCUUCUGGCCAGACACAGAUGUAAAAUAUUUCAAUUUCUUUAUAAUAAGUCUUGAAAUAUUAUUGUGCCAUGAUUUAAGCUAUCCAACUAUAUUGUUGUAGUUUGGAUUCUAAACUGAGAAUGAACAUACCUUAUUGCACUCUGGGAGUGGUGACGUUGAACAUGAAAAUUGUUCUGGAUAAGAUAGUAUUUAUCAAUACAGGGCAUAAAGGGCUGAUCACCCUCCGUGCUCGUAAGAUAAGACGGUUCACAGAUUAAAUUUCUAAUUGAACCUUUUCAAGAAAAGAAAAAUAUGUUCAUGGUUUUAUGACCUCUCAGUUAUUCAAUAUUAUUAUGAUAUUCCAGAAAUGUGAAUGAUUCAAGAUUUAUUGCUUUACAAAUUUGAUUCACUAUCAAAGCAUGCUUCAAAGAAAACAUUUAUUGCUUAUUGAGCCUUAAAAAAAUGCUAUUACUUGCUGAGCAAUUGAAUGCUCAUACUUGUUUUAUUAUAAAUGUUUUCAGCUGAGCAGACUCAAGUGGAAGGGUAGUAGGGACAAGGGGAAAGGAAAAGUAACAGAAUAGCUGGGAUUUGUUAUAAUAGAUAAUUUACAUGUCUGUAAAUAUUAAACUAUCAUGUAACGAACACUUAAAGGUCUAUGUGCCUGGGAUUAUAAGAACUUUGAUGUAAUAUCUUUAUUAAGUUAAGUUUAU